GACGAACGCUGGCGGCGUGCUUAACACAUGCAAGUCGAACGGAAAGGCUCCAGCUUGCUGGAGUACUCGAGUGGCGAACGGGUGAGUAACACGUGGGUAAUCUGCCCUGCACUCUGGGAUAAGCCUGGGAAACUGGGUCUAAUAUUGGAUAUGACCUUUCUCCUUAUGGGGUUUGGUGGAAAGUUUUUCGGUGUAGGAUGAGCCCGCGGCCUAUCAGCUUGUUGGUGGGGUGAUGGCCUACCAAGGCGACGACGGGUAGCCGGCCUGAGAGGGUGAUCGGCCACAUUGGGACUGAGAUACGGCCCAGACUCCUACGGGAGGCAGCAGUGGGGAAUAUUGCACAAUGGGCGGAAGCCUGAUGCAGCGACGCCGCGUGAGGGAUGACGGCCUUCGGGUUGUAAACCUCUUUCAGCAGGGACGAAGCGUAAGUGACGGUACCUGCAGAAGAAGCACCGGCUAACUAUGUG
This 467-nucleotide ribosomal RNA is filed under the name uncultured bacterium. Its description in RNAcentral is "partial 16S ribosomal RNA". It matches the Rfam family "Bacterial small subunit ribosomal RNA", at positions 28 to 507 of the family's 1533-position model. The record is from RNAcentral.